Molecule: long non-coding RNA, 4297 nt
Organism: Corvus hawaiiensis (hawaiian crow)
Lineage: Eukaryota; Metazoa; Chordata; Aves; Passeriformes; Corvidae
Exons: 3
Source: RefSeq, a predicted model, not a curated record
CUGUGUCCUGCCACUGGUUGCCUGGGAGAAGAGCCCAACUUGCACCUGGCUACAACCUCCUUUCAGGUAAUUUUAGAGAGAAAUAAGGUCCUCCCUGAGCGUCCUCUUCAAGGUGUCCUGCUCCGGUGGGCCUGGCAGCCACCACUGAUAGCAAACAGAUAAGGGGAAGGAGACUGAGGAAGUAUUUAGCACUAUGUCCGCUCAUGAAUGCUUGUUUGCUUCCAGGAGUAAAUCCAAAACACACAAAAGCAGCACUGUCAACAUAAAUCUUAUUUUAAAAAAAUAAAGAAACUGAUAAUAUUUUCCAGUGCUUUUAAAUUCAAAGGCUUUUUCCACAUAUUUUUUUGCCAUUCAUUUCAACAGCAGGUAGAAUCAGUUUCAGUUCUCACUCAGCUUUUGUGAAGCACUUGGACAAUACUAUUGUUGCACAACAUCACAGGUGAAUUCUAAUGUCCCAUUACAGAGCAUUAUGAAAUAUGAAUGUUGGUAAAGAUACCAUUGCCCAUUUUGAUCAGAAUAAUCAGAGAUGUAAACUCAUUUAAUUCAGGCAUGUACACAUCCCUUUUGUCACCAGAAAAAGCCCAACACCUGCACACAGGACCUACAAAGUCUCUAUAUUGGCUUUAGAAAGAAGUUUGUCUUUUAAAAAAACUUUUGCGGGUAUUUUUCAAAUAACAUUAUUUCAUUAUUUAAUUCUAUUGAACCAAAAGUGUGUUCAAGUUGAAAGUUGAAAAGCAGCUCAUUUUGAAAGAGAAUCCCGUCAAACUUGGAGACUCCAUUCCGUUAUCCAAGCCCUCCGUAAGUUGUGCAUGUGUGAGUGUAUCUUUGAUCAAAGUUUCUGAAUUUCAGCUAUCAUAGCAGAAAUGCCAGGAGGGAUAAACAGAUAAAUAUUUUUACGCAAGUGAUUAGUACACAUGAAUGGAGCCAGACUGAAACAAAUGGGAUUUGAAUCUCUAUAGAUAAGAUAAAAAUGCACAUACUGUAUUUUUGUACCACUGCAUGUUAAUCUGGAAAGAUAACUCCUGGACAGGAAUGGAUUGCAAAGGCCUGAAUGGAAACUGAACUAUUGGUAGAAGAUGCCACCUAACACCGCCAGGUCCUGGCACCGGGAACUCGAUGAGGCCACCUAUGCAUUGCUCUCAUGUCAACUAGAUGAGGUCAGAGACUCCCUUCUGCCUCCAGCUGACCUCAGCCAAUUCCAGCUGGCAACCCAGCGGCCCCAUGUCCUGCAGCCUCCUUGACGGGCUGUAUGAAAUGCUAAACAAUUACAAGUUCAUAUCCUCACUUUUUUUUUUUUUUUUAUUCCAGAUCACCAGAUACCUAAAAGCCACUUCUUUCCCGUCCAAACAUAGUAUUUAAAGGUCAAGAUGAAACUCUUGUUUCCCAUAUCACAGAUUGACCUUUCCAAGGGCAGUAGCAGACAAAGUUCAUUUAGUCUCCCUCUUUCUCUCUUGAGGAUCUUGUUUUUUGGAUCCUGCUCCAGCUGGACACUGCAAGAGCUAAAGUCUAGCAAGCUUCUAGGCACAGUACAAGACAUUUAUUUAGUUUAAUGAGACACUUUUUAUUCCUGAAAUUACAGACACCAUGGUUGCUUACAUGCAUGAAUGCAGCUAGAGUGGCUUUUACUGCUCCUCUGUACAAUUUGUGUUUGCAAUGCUGACUACCUGGCAGCUAUGGCGGUGGACAUUCAUCACCUCUAUAGAGUUUAAACUUUUCUUGGUUUUUGAUUGAAAAUACACUCAUCUACAUUUCUUCAACCGCAAUAGUUAAAGAAAUUGUCUUUAUGGGGCAAUUAAUCACAACAGCUACAGCAGGUUAAGCUCUCCUAUAAUUAAAUAUUUUGAAAUAAUUUCUGUGUAGAUAUUCUAUCCCACAGUAAAAAGGAACAGAAUUCUGGAUUAAUAAUUUUUGAACCAAACAGAUCAGUGGUAUUUUUUCCUGUUGCACUGAUAAAGUAUUAUUUUUCUGUUUCUUGUCCUAAGCUGUUGCUUCUAACAGGAUUUUAGCACUAACAGUUCAUUUCUUAACACUUUUAUAUUGCUUCAUCUUACUUUUUUCUCACCUAGCUGCUUUCUGCCCUGAACAAGUAAUACACCUGUGAGACAGAAGCCAUGCUGCUUUAGGCACCGAAGGUACUCAGCUUUGGCACCGAUUAGCCACCUGAAUUUGGGGCACACUGGAUACAUUUGUCAGAAAUUAUCUACUUAAAAUCUGGAUCAACAGCUAAACCCUUCAAACCUUCCUCUGCUGCUGUGACUCCCUAUCUUGGUCAUGUAAUACAACUGCCUGGAUGACUUUCCUGCUUAAUUUUAAAUGCUUCCAGCCAGAGCAGAAUUGGUCACUGCUAAAUCACUACCAAAAUAUAGAUUAAUCCAUGCCAUGAGCUGGGAGGUAUGAUCCCUAAUACACAAAAAAAGGGGCUGCCACCAAAGCUAAGGGACUUGCUUGGCCCCACACUUGCUUGGCAUUUUUCAGUACCACAGUGAGAAUUCAGAAGGGUUUAGGUCUUAGCCAGCCAUAGAUCUGUGCCAUCCCUUUCAGAAAGGUGAAAUCCCAGGUUAACUUAAAGAAUUUUGUGUGCAGCUGAACCUGCAUGUGGAAGGUAAGAAAUUGUGCUAAAUAACAGCUCCUUCGCAGUUAUAUUCAAGAUGGCAGAAGCUGAGCAAAUUCAAGUCCUUUGAUAUUGUGUGCUGUAUCACGGCAAAAUAUUCUCCCCUGUCAGCAGUUAGCUGCUCUUAAGCCAGACACUAGAAAAGGCCAGCCUGCUUCUGCCAGUGUGUCACACAGCCCCUUCUGGAAAAACAAAACAGAAAAAAAAACCCCAAACCAACGAACACAAACAAACCCUCCAAACCAGUAUUUUCCAGGAUAUUGCUUAGCAGGACCUUUUUUCUUUUUUCUAUUUUGUAACUACACUACAAACUUCCACUCACCCUUAAAGAUUUCUGCCCCUUUCACUUGUUCCAUCUCCUUUCUGCAAUGAUUCCACUCAAGAGUUUGGGAGCCUGAUCCAAAAUUUGCCCUUUUGCUGCUUUUCAGGAGUCUGGGUUUGCAGAUGGGAGGACAGUAAUGGAAGCUGAGGAGGAAACCCUGGUUACUGUGAGCCAUCAGACUUUUUAUAGAUAAUGAAGAAGAGAAAGUGAAAACUCAUCUCCUGAGGUAUCUGAUACAGAACAGUUUCACUGGAGGAAGAAAUGAAAUAGACAAAGGCUCUUCAGGUUGGAAAAAAAAGAUGACUGCAGAGGGAAAUGAUGGCAGUGUGUAAAACGCUGAAUGGAGAAGGUAAAUGCAGAGUAAUUGUUCACUUUCUCUUGCAGUACAAAAGCUGAGGGGGCAUCCAACAAAGACGUUUAGCAGCAGGUUUAAAACAAACACACCCAAAAGGAAGUACUCUUUCCUAGCAUCCGUAAUUGCAUUGUGGCAGUCAGUGCCUCAGGAGGUUGUGGAGACUGAAAAUGGAUUUUAAAAGGCAUUAAACAAAUUCAUGUGGGAUCAACAGCAAAUAAACACUGUAGCUUUGGUGAAACUUUUGUGUUUUCAAACCCUUACCCAGAGCUGGGAGGAGGCACCAAGUCAAGAUGAUUCGGUAUGUGGCCUUUUCCUUCCUCCCUGAGUGCUGCUGGCUGUUCCUGGAAACAGCGUGGCAGUUCCUGUUGUUCUGUGCUGAGCCGUGAGCCCGGGUGUUGCACAUCACUAAGGAGCAGAAAACGUUCUCUGCAUUCUCCUGCCCGACUCUGUCUUCCAGCAGACUUCCUCAGAGGGCAGGAGAUGCUUCUGGGAGAGCUUUGCAAUCCAACCCUCCCCCAUUUUUCCCUAGAGCAACCACACUUAUAAUUGUGCAGAGAGAGAAUAUUGCAUUACCUCGGGUUAAACCAAGGAAAAUUUCGAUCCUAUGUUUUGGCAUUUAAUUGUAGCAUUUAGCUCAUAUUUAAAGGGUAAAAAAUGUAGCUGCCCUCAUUAUUGGUCAAAAUGCUCAUCAGUCCCCAAUAAUAAUUCAGGACUUUCUACAAAAAAAGAAAGACAAAGCAACCAAACAACUGGUCUCCAUAGACAAGUGAAAGUAACAAUUUACCUAAGACAGCAAGGAAAACCAAACAAACAAAAAGAAAAACCAGAAACUCCACCCUGAAGUCACUCAGUUUAAUUUUUAAAAAAUAAUAUCUGCAAUAAAAGAUUUUAUAUUCAACAUUCAUAUAAAGGACAAAAAUUUCCAAUUAUGAUUAUGCUCACCCUUUUAUUAAAAAUAAAAGGCUGUAAUAAUGCCAGUUCUCAUCCAAACAUUUUCAAACUUCAGUUA